UUAUGCUAAUAAGAGCGUAUGGUGGAUGCCUUGGCACUAAGAGCCGAUGAAAGACGUGAUAAGCUGCGAAAAGCUUCGGGGAGGAGCAAAUAUCCUGAGAUCCGGAGAUAUCUGAAUGGGGAAACCUACUUGAGAAGACCUCAAGUAUCCACAGCCCAAUCCAUAAGCUGUGGAAGGGAACCCGGUGAACUGAAACAUCUAAGUAGCCGGAGGAAGAGAAAACAACAUGUGAUUCCGUAAGUAGCGGCGAGCGAACGCGGAAGAGCCCAAACCGGAGUGCGUGCACUCCGGGGUUCGGACUGCAGGAUUGACGAGUGAGCCUAGUAGAAUGGUUUUGGGAAAGCCAGCCAGAGAGGGUGAAAGCCCCGUACACGAAAGGCAAGCGAGCAUGGCAGGAUCCAGAGUACCACGAGACACGUGAAACCUUGUGGGAAUGAGCGGGGACCACCCCGUAAGGCUAAAUACUCCUUAGUGACCGAUAGCGCAUAGUACUGUGAAGGAAAGGUGAAAAGGACCCCGGGAGGGGAGUGAAAGAGAACCUGAAACCAUAUGUUUACAAGCUGUGGAACAUCUUUAUAUGAUGAACCGCGUACUUUUUGUAGAACGGUCCGGCGAGUUACGCUGGCUGGCGAGGUUAAGGGCUGAAGGCCUGGAGCCGAAGGGAAACCGAGUCUGAACAGGGCGAAAUAGUCAGUCGGAGUAGACCCGAAACCGGGUGAUCUAUCCAUGUCCAGGUUGAAGUUGCCGUAAAAGGCAAUGGAGGACCGAACCCACAUCCGUUGAAAAGGGUGGGGAUGAGGUGUGGAUAGGGGAGAAAUUCCAAUCGAACCCGGAGAUAGCUGGUUCUCCUCGAAAUAGCUUUAGGGCUAGCCUCAUGCAAGUCUUACGGAGGUAGAGCACUGAAUUCCUAAGGGGGCGUCAAAGCUUACCAAGGGAUAUCAAACUCCGAAUGCCGUGUAGAUGGUGCAUGGGAGUCAGACUAUCCGAGAUAAGUUGGGUAGUCAAAAGGGAAAGAGCCCAGACCUACAGCUAAGGUCCCAAAAUGUGUGUUAAGUGGAAAAGGAUGUGGGAUUUCGAAGACAACUAGGAUGUUGGCUUAGAAGCAGCCAUCCAUUAAAAGAGUGCGUAAUAGCUCACUAGUCGAGAGGUCCUGCGCCGAAAAUGUCCGGGGCUGAAACACACUACCGAAGCUUGGGAAUUGACGAAUGUUAAUUGGUAGAGGAGCAUUCUUAACGGGGCGAAGCUGUACCGGAAGGAGCAGUGGACUGUUAAGAAGAGAGAAUGCCGGAAUGAGUAGCGAGAGGAAGGUGAGAAUCCUUCCGGCCGAAUAUCUAAGGUUUCCAGAGUAAAGCUGAUCUGCUCUGGGUAAGUCGGGGCCUAAGGCGAGGUCGAAAGACGUAGUCGAUGGAUAACAGGUAAAGAUUCCUGUACUGUAUCAUAACAGAACUGUGGGGACGCAGACAGAGAGCAUAAGCCGGGAAUGGAAAGACCGGUACAAGCGAGGUAGGAGUGCAUCAGGCAAAUCCGGUGCACAAUCUGAAGACGUGAUGUGGGGCGUAAAGCCGGAAGUAUGUGAGCUGGCUGCCAAGAAAAGCCGCUAUUGUUUAUGAUAUACCCGUACCGUAAACCGACACAGGUGGAUGAGGAGAGAAUCCUAAGGCCGACGGGAGAAGCAUUGUUAAGGAACUCGGCAAAAUGACUCCGUAACUUCGGGAGAAGGAGUGCCAUGUAAAAGUGGCCGCAGAGAAUUGGCCCAAGCAACUGUUUAGCAAAAACACAGGUCUAUGCAAAACCGAAAGGUGAGGUAUAUGGGCUGACGCCUGCCCGGUGCUGGAAGGUUAAGGGGAGAGGUUAGCCGUAAGGCGAAGCUUUGAACUUAAGCCCCAGUAAACGGCGGCCGUAACUAUAACGGUCCUAAGGUAGCGAAAUUCCUUGUCGGGUAAGUUCCGACCCGC
This 1955-nucleotide ribosomal RNA is filed under the name human gut metagenome. RNAcentral's name for it is "bacterial LSU rRNA". It matches the Rfam family "Bacterial large subunit ribosomal RNA", at positions 1 to 1991 of the family's 2925-position model. The record is from RNAcentral.